This 369-nucleotide ribosomal RNA is filed under the name uncultured Bacteroidota bacterium. RNAcentral's name for it is "bacterial SSU rRNA". It matches the Rfam family "Bacterial small subunit ribosomal RNA", at positions 521 to 896 of the family's 1533-position model. Lineage: Bacteria; Pseudomonadati; Bacteroidota. The record is from RNAcentral.
UAAUACGGAGGGUGCAAGCGUUAUCCGGAUUUAUUGGGUUUAAAGGGUCCGUAGGUGGAUCGUUAAGUCAGGGGUGAAAGCCUACAGCUCAACUGUAGAAUUGCCUUUGAUACUGACGAUCUUGAAUGUGGUCGAAGUUGGCGGAAUAUGACAUGUAGCGGUGAAAUGCUUAGAGAUGUCAUAGAACACCGAUUGCGAAGGCAGCCAACUAGGUCACAACUGACACUGAGGGACGAAAGCGUGGGGAGCGAACAGGAUUAGAUACCCUGGUAGUCCACGCCGUAUACGAUGAAUACUCGGUAUUGGCUUCGGUCAGUGCCCAAGCGAAAGUGAUAAGUAUUCCACCUGGGGAGUACGGCCGCAAGGCUG